GAUCAUGGCUCAGGACGAACGCUGGCGGCGCGCCUAACACAUGCAAGUCGAACGGAGCUGAGAGGAGCUUGCUUUUCUUAGCUUAGUGGCGAACGGGUGAGUAACGCGUGAGUAACCUGCCCUGGAGUGGGGGACAACAGUUGGAAACGACUGCUAAUACCGCAUAAGCCCACGGCCCGGCAUCGGGCUGAGGGAAAAGGAUUUAUUCUCCUCAGGAUGGACUCGCGUCCAAUUAGCUAGUUGG
Molecule: ribosomal RNA, 244 nt
Filed under: uncultured bacterium
Lineage: Bacteria
Description: partial 16S ribosomal RNA
Rfam family: Bacterial small subunit ribosomal RNA
Source: RNAcentral